UACGUAGGGUGCAAGCGUUAUUCGGAAUUACUGGGCGUAAAGCGUGCGCAGGCGGCUUUGUAAGUCAGAUGUGAAAUCCCCGGGCUUAACCUGGGAACUGCAUUUGUGACUGCAUGGCUGGAGUGCGGCAGAGGGGGAUGGAAUUCCGCGUGUAGCAGUGAAAUGCGUAGAUAUGCGGAGGAACACCGAUGGCGAAGGCAAUCCCCUGGGCCUGCACUGACGCUCAUGCACGAAAGCGUGGGGAGCAAACAGG
This 253-nucleotide ribosomal RNA is filed under the name uncultured bacterium. RNAcentral describes it as "partial 16S ribosomal RNA". It matches the Rfam family "Bacterial small subunit ribosomal RNA", at positions 524 to 776 of the family's 1533-position model. The record is from RNAcentral.